RNAcentral lists this ribosomal RNA (794 nucleotides) under uncultured Bacteroidota bacterium. RNAcentral's name for it is "bacterial SSU rRNA". It matches the Rfam family "Bacterial small subunit ribosomal RNA", at positions 57 to 849 of the family's 1533-position model. The record is from RNAcentral. Lineage: Bacteria; Pseudomonadati; Bacteroidota.
GCAAGUCGAAGGAGAAGGUAGAAGCUUGCUUUUACUGGAGACUGGCGGACGGGUGAGUAACGCGUAGAUAACCUGCCUAUGGCUGGGGGAUAACACUGCGAAAGUGGUGCUAAUACCGCAUAAUGCAGCGGGGCCGCAUGGCCAUAGUUGUUAAAGGUUUCGGCCGGCUAUAGAUGGGUCUGCGUGCUAUUAGUUAGUUGGUAGGUAACGGCCUACCAAGGCGAUGAUAGCUAGGGGGUCUGAGAGGAUGAUCCCCCACACUGGGACUGAGACACGGCCCAGACCCCUACGGGAGGCAGCAGUGAGGAAUCUUGCGCAAUGGGCGAAAGCCUGACGCAGCCACGCCGCGUGCCGGAUGAAGGCCCUAUGGGUUGUAAACGGCUUUUACUAGGGAAGAACGAGAGGGUUUCGAUCUUCUGUGACGGUACCUAGUGAAUAAGCACCGGCUAACUCCGUGCCAGCAGCCGCGGUAAUACGGAGGGUGCAAGCGUUGUCCGGAAUCAUUGGGUGUAAAGGGUACGUAGGCGGGAGCCUAAGUCUGGGGUGAAAUCUUGCCGCUUAACGGUAAAAUGGCCCUGGAUACUGGGUUUCUUGAGUGCAGAAGAGGCAGGUGGAAUUCGUGGUGUAGCGGUGAAAUGCUUAGAUAUCACGAAGAACAUCAGUGGCGAAGGCGGCCUGCUGGUCUGCAACUGACGCUGAGGUACGAAAGCGUGGGGAGCGAACAGGAUUAGAUACCCUGGUAGUCCACGCCGUAAACGAUGCAUACUAAGUGUUGGCCUUUGGGCCAGUGCUGC